This is a non-coding RNA of Acanthosepion pharaonis, 87 nucleotides long. Lineage: Eukaryota; Metazoa; Mollusca; Cephalopoda; Sepiida; Sepiidae. The record is from the annotation of a GenBank genome assembly.
GUUCCCGUAUGAUCACCGAAGUUAAGUAACAUUGAGCUUUGUCAGUACCUUGAUGGCUGACUGCUUGGGAAUACUGGGUGCUGUAAG